AUUGAACGCUGGCGGCAUGCUUUACACAUGCAAGUCGAACGGCAGCACGGGUGCUUGCACCUGGUGGCGAGUGGCGAACGGGUGAGUAAUGCACCGGAACGUAUCCAAUAAUGGGGGAUAACGCACCGAAAGGUGUGCUAACACCGCAUACGCCCUGAGGGGGAAAGCGGGGGACCGAAAGGCCUCGCGUUACUGGAGCGGCCGAUGCCGGAUUAGCUAGUUGGUGAGGUAAAGGCUCACCAAGGCGACGAUCCGUAGCUGGUCUGAGAGGACGACCAGCCACACUGGGACUGAGACACGGCCCAGACUCCUACGGGAGGCAGCAGUGGGGAAUUUUGGACAAUGGGCGCAAGCCUGAUCCAACCAUGCCGCGUGAGUGAAGAAGGCCUUCGGGUUGUAAAGCUCUUUCGCAAGGAAAGAAAACUCAUCUCCUAAUACGAGGUGAGGAUGACGGUACCUUGAUAAGAAGCACCGGCUAACUACGUGCCAGCCGCCGCCGUAA
This 502-nucleotide ribosomal RNA is filed under the name uncultured bacterium. RNAcentral's name for it is "partial 16S ribosomal RNA". It matches the Rfam family "Bacterial small subunit ribosomal RNA", at positions 29 to 523 of the family's 1533-position model. The record is from RNAcentral.